GACGAACGCUGGCGGCGUGCUUAACACAUGCAAGUGGUGCGACGAACCAGGGCUUGCCCUGGGGCAAAGCCGCGAACGGGUGAGUAACACGUGAGUAACCUGCCCCGAUGACCGGGACAACCCGAGGAAACUCGGGCUAAUACCGGAUGUGGCGCACAGAUAUAAGCCUGUUCGCUAAAGGAAGCUUCGGCCUCCGCAUUGGGAGGGGCUCGCGGCCCAUAGCUUGUUGGUGGGGUAACGGCCUACCAAGGCAACGAUGGGUAGCUGGUCUGAGAGGACGAUCAGCCACACUGGGACUGAGACACGGCCCAGACUCCUACGGGAGGCAGCAGUGGGGAAUCUUGCGCAAUGCGCGAAAGCGUGACGCAGCAACGCCGCGUGGGGGAAGACGGCCUUCGGGUUGUAAACCCCUUUCAGUUGGGACGAAGCUUCGCCGGUGAAUAGCCGGCUGGAGUGACGGUACCUUCACAAGAAGCCCCGGCUAACUACGUGCCAGCCGCCGCCGUAAGAC
This 511-nucleotide ribosomal RNA is filed under the name uncultured bacterium. RNAcentral describes it as "bacterial SSU rRNA". It matches the Rfam family "Bacterial small subunit ribosomal RNA", at positions 28 to 526 of the family's 1533-position model. The record is from RNAcentral.